GACGAACGCUGGCGGCGUGCUUAACACAUGCAAGUCGAGCGGUAAGGCCCUUUCGGGGGUACGACGAGCGGCGAACGGGUGAGUAACACGUGGGUGACCUGCCCUCAGCUCUGGGAGUAAGCCUGGGAAACGUAGGGUCGUAAUACCGGAUAUGACUCCAUGACGCAUGUUGUGGGGUGGAAAGCCUUGUGCGGCUGAGGAUGGGCCCGCGGCCUAUCAGCUUGUUGGUGGGGUGAGGCCUACCAAGGCGACGACGGGUAGCCGGCCUGAGAGGGCGACCGGCCACACUGGGACUGAGACACGGCCCAGACUCCUACGGGAGGCAGCAGGUGGGGAAUCUUGCGCAAUGGGCGAAAGCCUGACGCAGCGACGCCGCGUGAGGGAUGACGGCCU
RNAcentral lists this ribosomal RNA (393 nucleotides) under uncultured bacterium. Its description in RNAcentral is "bacterial SSU rRNA". It matches the Rfam family "Bacterial small subunit ribosomal RNA", at positions 28 to 417 of the family's 1533-position model. The record is from RNAcentral.